AGUGAACGCUGGCGGUAGGCCUAACACAUGCAAGUCGAACGGCAGCACAGUAAGAGCUUGCUCUUACGGGUGGCGAGUGGCGGACGGGUGAGGAAUACAUCGGAAUCUACUUUUUCGUGGGGGAUAACGUAGGGAAACUUACGCUAGUACCGCAUACGACCUACGGGUGAAAGCAGGGGAUCUUCGGACCUUGCGCGAUUGAAUGAGCCGAUGUCGGAUUAGCUAGUUGGCGGGGUAAAGGCCCACCAAGGCGACGAUCCGUAGCUGGUCUGAGAGGAUGAUCAGCCACACUGGAACUGAGACACGGUCCAGACUCCUACGGGAGGCAGCAGUGGGGAAUAUUGGACAAUGGGCGCAAGCCUGAUCCAGCCAUACCGCGUGGGUGAAGAAGGCCUUCGGGUUGUAAAGCCCUUUUGUCGGGAAAGAAAAGCAGCAGGUUAAUACCCCGCUGUUCUGACGGUACCCAAAGAAUAAGCACCGGCUAACUUCGUG
Molecule: ribosomal RNA, 492 nt
Filed under: uncultured bacterium
Lineage: Bacteria
Description: partial 16S ribosomal RNA
Rfam family: Bacterial small subunit ribosomal RNA
Source: RNAcentral